GCCUAGGUGGGAUUAGCUAGUUGGUGAGGUAAGGGCUCACCAAGGCGACGAUCCCUAGCUGGUCUGAGAGGAUGAUCAGCCACACUGGAACUGAGACACGGUCCAGACUCCUACGGGAGGCAGCAGUGGGGAAUAUUGCACAAUGGGCGCAAGCCUGAUGCAGCCAUGCCGCGUGUGUGAAGAAGGCCUUCGGGUUGUAAAGCACUUUCAGUCGUGAGGAAGGUAGUGUAGUUAAUAGCUGCAUUAUUUGACGUUAGCGACAGAAGAAGCACCGGCUAACUCCGUGCCAGCAGCCGCGGUAAUACGGAGGGUGCGAGCGUUAAUCGGAAUUACUGGGCGUAAAGCGCAUGCAGGUGGUUUGUUAAGUCAGAUGUGAAAGCCCGGGGCUCAACCUCGGAAUUGCAUUUGAAACUGGCAGACUAGAGUACUGUAGAGGGGGGUAGAAUUUCAGGUGUAGCGGUGAAAUGCGUAGAGAUCUGAAGGAAUACCGGUGGCGAAGGCGGCCCCCUGGACAGAUACUGACACUCAGAUGCGAAAGCGUGGGGAGCAAACAGGAUUAGAUACCCUGGUAGUCCACGCCGUAAACGAUGUCUACUUGGAGGUUGUGGCCUUGAGCCGUGGCUUUCGGAGCUAACGCGUUAAGUAGACCGCCUGGGGAGUACGGUCGCAAGAUUAAAACUCAAAUGAAUUGACGGGGGCCCGCACAAGCGGUGGAGCAUGUGGUUUAAUUCGAUGCAACGCGAAGAACCUUACCUACUCUUGACAUCCAGAGAACUUUCCAGAGAUGGAUUGGUGCCUUCGGGAACUCUGAGACAGGUGCUGCAUGGCUGUCGUCAGCUCG
RNAcentral lists this ribosomal RNA (841 nucleotides) under Vibrio sp. RNAcentral's name for it is "bacterial SSU rRNA". It matches the Rfam family "Bacterial small subunit ribosomal RNA", at positions 229 to 1062 of the family's 1533-position model. The record is from RNAcentral. Lineage: Bacteria; Pseudomonadati; Pseudomonadota; Gammaproteobacteria; Vibrionales; Vibrionaceae.